GACGUAGGGCGCGAGCGUUGUCCGGAUUUAUUGGGCGUAAAGAGCUCGUAGGUGGUUUGUCGCGUUGUUCGUGAAAACCGGGGGCUUAACCCUCGGCGUGCGGGCGAUACGGGCAGACUUGAGUACUGCAGGGGAGACUGGAAUUCCUGGUGUAGCGGUGGAAUGCGCAGAUAUCAGGAGGAACACCGGUGGCGAAGGCGGGUCUCUGGGCAGUAACUGACGCUGAGGAGCGAAAGCGUGGGGAGCGAACAGG
Molecule: ribosomal RNA, 253 nt
Filed under: uncultured bacterium
Lineage: Bacteria
Description: partial 16S ribosomal RNA
Rfam family: Bacterial small subunit ribosomal RNA
Source: RNAcentral